RNAcentral lists this long non-coding RNA (1166 nucleotides) under Anser brachyrhynchus (Pink-footed goose). RNAcentral describes it as "lncRNA (ENSABRG00000007241.1)". Lineage: Eukaryota; Metazoa; Chordata; Aves; Anseriformes; Anatidae. The record is from RNAcentral.
AUUUGUGCUUUUAUUCUUGGUUGGCAGGAUAACGAAGGUGCUUCCUUGAUGUAAGAUUUAUGCAUUCUGCAGAAGAGAAUAAACAAUGGGUAGAUGAUCACGGCAAAAAGUAGUAAAGAAUAUGUGGGCAUACUUAAUGAUGUUCAUCUAGUUUGUUCAAGUGCUGUAACUUACUGCAUUUGUGCCUGGCCAGAUCCUGCACCUAUGAAAACAUAAGUAUUUAUAAUUAGAGAGGUGCAUGAUCAGCGUUAAAUGAAUCUGCCUCCCAACAGCUCUGAAAUGUCACUGCUGCUGUUGUGAAGACACAGAUAAAUUUUGUUAUCUGCAAGUCCUGAGCAAAUCAGCAUGCCUAUAAAUAACAUGAACAGGGGUGAUGGGAAAACAAUACUGUUUGCUUCAUAAGAUCAAAGAAUGAGAUGGUUCAUUUAAGUAGACACAGUUUUUAUUAUAUAUUUACAGGUAAGGCCCUGGCAAAAACAGAGGAAAAUGGCUUCCAGUGCUCGUGCAUGAGCAGUCAUUCCAAUUUCAUCCCUCCCAAGGCAAUUCAGCAUGUGAAACUAAGCUGAAGAGGACCUCACUGCAAAAAGGUGGAAAUCAUAUAAGUAGCUUUGCCCAACAGCACCCUGCUCUCUCUAUAAGAGGAAAUGACCUGGUGUUUUGUACCCUACUUACUUACUUGGAGUGGAAUUUUACAUCCCCUGCAAAGCCUCCUAGAUGUUUCCACUUAUAGAUCGGAAGAUGCUGACAGAUGUAGCGAGAUGGAGGACAAAGGGCUGUGCGGCUACAGCGUGACGAAGCCCAGCACUCCGACCUGUCUGCAAGCUGUUUGGCGAGGCUCGGGCUAAAGUGAGCUGCUCUGACCACACUGCCAGGAAGCAUUCAUGCUGAUAUCUGCAAAGCUACACUGGCUGUAGCUUAAGCAGCCAGUAAAUUAACAGCAAGUGACCUUUGAAGAACCAGAGGUGAAUGCAUGAUGUAAAUAGUCUACUAACCACUUCUAAUUUAAUCAGAAAUUCCCAGGACAACUUCCUCAAACAUCUCAUAUGUUUCUUCCCAUUGCUUCCAUAUCUUACUUCCACAGUCUGCUGGACAGGAAGAAAAUGCUUCCUGCCACAGUCAUGAAAGGGAAAUGCAACUAAAGGAAUAAAUGUAGCCUUCAUCUAGCA